AAUAUUGGACAAUGGGGGCAACCCUGAUCCAGCCAUGCCGCGUGUGUGAAGAAGGUCNNNGGAUUNUCAAGCACUUUAAGCUGNGAGNAAGGGCUUUAGGCUAAUACCCUGAAGUCUUGACGUUACCAACAGAAUAAGCACCGGCUAACUCUGUGCCAGCAGCCGCGGGAAUACAGAGGGUGCAAGCGGUAAUGGGAAUUACUGGGCGUAAAGCGCGCGUAGGUGGGUCAGUAAGAUGGGUGUGAAAUCCCCGGGCUUAACCUGGGAACUGCUUUCAUAACUGCUGGGCUAGAGUACGGUAGAGGGUAGUGGAAUUUCCUGUGUAGCGGUGAAAUGCGUAGAUAUAGGAAGGAACACCAGUGGCGAAGGCGACUACCUGGACUGAUACUGACACUGAGGUGCGAAAGCGUGGGGAGCAAAC
Molecule: ribosomal RNA, 421 nt
Filed under: uncultured bacterium
Lineage: Bacteria
Description: partial 16S ribosomal RNA
Rfam family: Bacterial small subunit ribosomal RNA
Source: RNAcentral